CACGCAGGCGGUCUGCCAAGUUCGGGGUGACAGUUUCCGGCUCAACCGGGAAAGGACUUUGAAAACUGGUAGACUUGAGAGCGAGAGAGGAACAUGGAACUCCAGGUGUAGUAGUGAAAUGCGUAGAUAUCUGGAAGAACACCAAAGGCGUAGGCAAUGUUCUGGCUCGUUUCUGACGCUCAGGUGCGAAAGCCAGGGGAGCGAACG
This 207-nucleotide ribosomal RNA is filed under the name uncultured bacterium. Its description in RNAcentral is "partial 16S ribosomal RNA". It matches the Rfam family "Bacterial small subunit ribosomal RNA", at positions 568 to 774 of the family's 1533-position model. The record is from RNAcentral.